Molecule: non-coding RNA, 82 nt
Filed under: uncultured Romboutsia sp.
Lineage: Bacteria; Bacillati; Bacillota; Clostridia; Peptostreptococcales; Peptostreptococcaceae
Description: Cyclic di-GMP-I riboswitch
Rfam family: c-di-GMP-I riboswitch aptamer
About the family: GEMM was predicted in a large-scale screen for bacterial structured RNA regulatory elements. Genes associated with GEMM are involved in a diverse array of functions, including chemotaxis regulation, signal transduction, secretion and chitin.
Source: RNAcentral
UUUAAUAGGCAAAACUUGGGAAACCCAGUGACGCAAAACUAUAGGGGCUAAAGUCAAAUGACUAUGCCAGCCAGCUGCCGAA